RNAcentral lists this ribosomal RNA (482 nucleotides) under uncultured bacterium. Its description in RNAcentral is "partial 16S ribosomal RNA". It matches the Rfam family "Bacterial small subunit ribosomal RNA", at positions 30 to 507 of the family's 1533-position model. The record is from RNAcentral.
UGAACGCUGGCGGCAGGCCUAGCACAUGCAAGUCGAGCGGAUGAAGGGAGCUUGCUCCUGGAUUCAGCGGCGGACGGGUGAGUAAUGCCUAGGAAUCUGCCUGGUAGUGGGGGAUAACGUCCGGAAACGGGCGCUAAUACCGCAUACGUCCUGAGGGAGAAAGUGGGGGAUCUUCGGACCUCACGCUAUCAGAUGAGCCUAGGUCGGAUUGGCUAGUUGGUGGGGUAAAGGCCUACCAAGGCGACGAUCCGUAACUGGUCUGAGAGGAUGAUCAGUCACACUGGAACUGAGACACGGCCCCGACUCCUACGGGAGGCAGCAGUGGGGAAUAUUGGACCAUGGGCGGAAGCCAGAUCCAACCCAGCCGCGUGUGUGGAGAAGGUCUUCCGAUUGUAAAGCACUUUUAGGUGGGAAGAAAGGCAGGAAAUUUAUACCUUGCUGUUUUGACGUUACCAACAGAAUAAGCACCGGCUAACUUCGUG